RNAcentral lists this ribosomal RNA (253 nucleotides) under uncultured bacterium. RNAcentral describes it as "partial 16S ribosomal RNA". It matches the Rfam family "Bacterial small subunit ribosomal RNA", at positions 524 to 776 of the family's 1533-position model. The record is from RNAcentral.
UACGUAGGUGGCAAGCGUUGUCCGGAUUUAUUGGGUUUAAAGGGUGCGUAGGUGGUCAAUUAAGUCAGUGCUGAAAUAUCCCGGCUUAACCGGGAGGGUGGCAUUGAUACUGAUUGACUUGAGUGGAGUUGAGGUAGGCGGAAUUGACGGUGUAGCGGUGAAAUGCUUAGAUAUCGUCAAGAACACCGAUAGCGAAGGCAGCUUACCAAGCCCUAACUGACACUGAUGCACGAAAGUGUGGGGAUCAAACAGG